CCUUAGAGUUUGAUCCUGGCUCAGAACGAACGCUGGCGGCAGGCUUAACACAUGCAAGUCGAACGCCCCUUUCGGGGGGAGUGGCAGACGGGUGAGUAACACGUGGGAACGUACCUCUUUGUUCGGAAUAACUCAUGGAAACGUGAGCUAAUACCGGAUACGCCCUUUUGGGGAAAGAUUUAUCGCAGAGAGAUCGGCCCGCGUCUGAUUAGCUAGUUGGUGAGGUAAUGGCUCACCAAGGCGACGAUCAGUAGCUGGUCUGAGAGGAUGAUCAGCCACACUGGGACUGAGACACGGCCCAGACUCCUACGGGAGGCAGCAGUGGGGAAUAUUGGACAAUGGGGGCAACCCUGAUCCAGCCAUGCCGCGUGAGUGAUGAAGGCCUUAGGGUUGUAAAGCUCUUUUAUCCGGGAAGAUAAUGACUGUACCGGAAGAAUAAGCCCCGGCUAACUUCGUGCCAGCAGCCGCGGUAAUACGAAGGGGGCUAGCGUUGUUCGGAAUCACUGGGCGUAAAGGGCGCGUAGGCGGACGAUUAAGUCAGGGGUGAAGUCCCGGGGCUCAACCUCGGAAUUGCCCUUGAUACUGGUUGUCUUGAGAUUGGAAGAGGUAAGUGGAAUUGCGAGUGUAGAGGUGAAAUUCGUAGAUAUUCGCAAGAACACCGGUGGCGAAGGCGACUUACUGGUCCAUAUCUGACGCUGAGGCGCGAAAGCGUGGGGAGCAAACAGGAUUAGAUACCCUGGUAGUCCACGCCGUAAACGAUGGAUGCCAGCUGUUGGGGAGCAUGCUCUUCAGUGGCGCAGUCAACACAUUAAGCAUCCCGCCUGGGGAGUACGGUCGCAAGAUUAAAACUCAAAGGAAUUGACGAGGACCCGCACAAGCGGUGGAUGAUGUGGAUUAAUUCGAUGCAACGCGAAAAACCUUACCUACCCUUGACAUGUCUGGAAUGCCGAAGAGAUUUGGCAGUGCUCGCAAGAGAACCGGAACACGGGUGCUGCAUGGCUGUCGUCAGCUCGUGUCGUGAGAUGUUGGGUUAAGUCCCGCAACGAGCGCAACCCUUGUCAUUAGUUGCUACGCAAGAGCACUCUAAUGAGACUGCCGGUGACAAACCGGAGGAAGGUGGGGAUGACGUCAAGUCCUCAUGGCCCUUAUGGGUAGGGCUUCACACGUCAUACAAUGGUCGGGACAGAGGGUCGCCAACCCGCGAGGGGGAGCCAAUCUCAGAAACCCGAUCGUAGUCCGGAUCGCAGUCUGCAACUCGACUGCGUGAAGUCGGAAUCGCUAGUAAUCGCGGAUCAGAAUGUCGCGGUGAAUACGUUCCCGGGUCUUGCACUCACCGCCCGUCA
This 1343-nucleotide ribosomal RNA is filed under the name uncultured bacterium. RNAcentral describes it as "partial 16S ribosomal RNA". It matches the Rfam family "Bacterial small subunit ribosomal RNA". The record is from RNAcentral.